CGAUCUGGCUCAGGAUGAACGCUAGCUACAGGCUUAACACAUGCAAGUCGAGGGGCAGCAUGAUCAAAGCUUGCUUGAUUGAUGGCGACCGGCGCACGGGUGAGUAACGCGUAUCCAACCUUCCCCCUAGUAGGGCAUAGCCCGGCGAAAGUCGGAUUAAUACCCUAUGUUUUCCAAUGAGGACAUCUGAGCUGGAACAAAGAUUCAUCGCUAGGGGAUGGGGAUGCGUCCGAUUAGCUUGCCGGCGGGGUAACGGCCCACCGGGGCGACGAUCGGUAGGGGUUCUGAGAGGAAGGUCCCCCACACUGGUACUGAGACACGGACCAGACUCCUACGGGAGGCAGCAGUGAGGAAUAUUGGUCAAUGGGCGUAAGCCUGAACCAGCCAAGUAGCGUGCAAGGAUGACGGCCCUAUGGGUUGUAAACUGCUUUUAUGCGGGGAUAAAGUUCACCACGUGUGGUGUUUUGCAGGUACCGCAUGAAUAAGGACCGGCUAAUUCCGUGCCAGCAGCAGC
RNAcentral lists this ribosomal RNA (514 nucleotides) under uncultured bacterium. RNAcentral's name for it is "bacterial SSU rRNA". It matches the Rfam family "Bacterial small subunit ribosomal RNA", at positions 14 to 518 of the family's 1533-position model. The record is from RNAcentral.